This 175-nucleotide antisense RNA is filed under the name Leptolyngbya sp. 'hensonii'. RNAcentral's name for it is "Antisense RNA which regulates isiA expression". It matches the Rfam family "Antisense RNA which regulates isiA expression". The record is from Rfam by way of RNAcentral. Lineage: Bacteria; Bacillati; Cyanobacteriota; Cyanophyceae; Leptolyngbyales; Leptolyngbyaceae.
AAUAGCCAAAGAUGCAGGCUGGAUUGAGGUUAGGCUGGAUCAGCCGAACUCGCUCCAUCAGCGGAUCAUAAACGCCACCCCAAUGGGUCGCCUUCAGAACCAGUAAUAAUGCCCCAACCCCUAGCAACACAAGAUGAAUUCCUAAAAUCGUGGUCAUCUUCUUGCCAUCCUGCCA